UACAGAGGGUGCAAGCGUUAAUCGGAAUUACUGGGCGUAAAGCGCGCGUAGGUGGUUUGUUAAGUCGAACGUGAAAUCCCCGGGCUCAACCCGGGAACUGCGUCCGAUACUGGAAGGCUUGAAUCCGGGAGAGGGAUGCGGAAUUCCAGGUGUAGCGGUGAAAUGCGUAGAUAUCUGGAGGAACACCGGUGGCGAAGGCGGCAUCCUGGACCGGCAUUGACGCUGAGGCGCGAAAGCCAGGGGAGCAAACAGG
Molecule: ribosomal RNA, 253 nt
Filed under: uncultured bacterium
Lineage: Bacteria
Description: partial 16S ribosomal RNA
Rfam family: Bacterial small subunit ribosomal RNA
Source: RNAcentral